UAGGUCUACAGUCUAAGAAUAUUAUUUUACAUUAUUGUCAUGUCACUCAUAAAUCAUAUGCAUAACUUGAUAUAAAUUUCUAUGAAAUCAAUAGCUACCUAAAUUAUUUCCAUUAGUCAGUUUGUACUUUUUGUAGCAAUAUACUAAAAAGAGAUAUUAUUGAAGAACCGAAUAAACUAUAUUUCGCUCCAGGAUAUAUUCAAGGUAAUAUCGACGUUAUAAUAUCUUUAUUUUAUUAGGUACUUGUGUUUUAUAUUAAAAUAAAUAAAGAACCACCUAUACUAGUUGUGCAAUAGAGCUAAUUUAAUGUUAAUUUUUAGAAUUUAAAAAUUCUUGGUAAAUUCAAUUAUAAAUUAUUUACUUUUCCUGUUGAUUGUGUUCUUGAAACGAUUAUUAAAUUAUGCAUUUAUAAUAAAUAAAAUGAAAUUGUAAAUACUAUAUACAUUAUAUUGUACCCACCUAUUUGUACGUUAUUUAUUACAUGACUUUAACAGUGAAGUGACGAACAUUUAUGAACAAUAAUGCACAACAUAUUAUUAUAUUUGAGCACUUAGUGCCCUUCGUAAAAUACUCCGUUAUUAUUAUUAUUUGUUGGUUACUAUUCAUUAGGAGAAAUGUUAUAAUUAACUAACAAGGAAACUAAUUAGAUAGGUAUAUUUAAUUAAUUCUUCAACCUCUUUAUAUAUGUCACACGCUAAGUGGUAUAAACAAAUUACGCAUCAAAUAUUAAUGCCUCUGGCUUGACUAAAAUUUGGUACCUUUUUAGAUUGAUUUAAUUUAAUAAUUUAUAAUUAUAUACCACCUAUGGGUUUCUUGUAGAAAAGCAUGUACCUACAUAUUUAUCUGCAUUCAAUUAUAAUACUUGAUAGUUGAUUAAAGGCAAAUAAUAUAAAUAGGUACAUUAUUAUUGAUAUUGUUUAUUACUAAAUACUAAAUUCCUAUUGUUGACGUUCUUUUAAGUAAUCUACGCUCACCCUACAAUAAUAUAAACUAUGACGCCUAGGCGUACUGAAAACCCUUUCGCCACGCCACUGAUAUAAAACAUAAUUUAUAAUUUGUUCGUAAUAUUAAGUUUAAAAAAUUCAAUGUUCACAGAUUCGCCGUAUUGAUUUACCUCUUUAUUAUAACUACUAACAAGACUGGGAAUAAUGGAGGAAUUAAGAAAAGCUUUGAAAUACCAGGCGAGCUUAUACAAUGCAGAUACGGCUUUUGUCAGUAUAUCAACUUUAGAAAUAGAUAGAAAAUAUAAAAUUAACGAUAUAUCCAAAGUUCAGUCAAGGUAUGGUUUGCGUAUUUUGGUUAGUCUUCAAGGUGAUCGAAGAAUAUUGAAAACAUAUUUACCUAAAUCCAUAAAGUUAAGUGAUGCCUACAUUAAUGAUUUUAUGAAUCGCGAUAAAAUGUCGGCUUUAUAUUUAAUUUACAAAGGGAGAAAAACAAACGGGGCAUAUAAAAUCGAUUUUGAGUAGCUAUAUUAUUAUAAAUAUACUGAAGCUUAUUGAG
Cinara cedri is the source of this 1500-nucleotide non-coding RNA. Lineage: Eukaryota; Metazoa; Arthropoda; Insecta; Hemiptera; Aphididae. The record is from the annotation of a GenBank genome assembly.